RNAcentral lists this ribosomal RNA (982 nucleotides) under Sphingobacterium sp. DDT-6. RNAcentral's name for it is "bacterial SSU rRNA". It matches the Rfam family "Bacterial small subunit ribosomal RNA", at positions 52 to 1027 of the family's 1533-position model. Lineage: Bacteria; Pseudomonadati; Bacteroidota; Sphingobacteriia; Sphingobacteriales; Sphingobacteriaceae. The record is from RNAcentral.
UAUAAUGCAAGUCGGACGGGAUUGGAACCAGAGCUUGCUCUGAUUCCAUGAGAGUGGCGCACGGGUGCGUAACGCGUGAGCAACCUACCUCUAUCAGGGGGAUAGCCUCUCGAAAGAGAGAUUAACACCGCAUAACAUCAACAGUUCGCAUGUUCUGUUGAUUAAAUAUUUAUAGGAUAGAGAUGGGCUCGCGUGACAUUAGCUAGUUGGUAGGGUAACGGCUUACCAAGGCGACGAUGUCUAGGGGCUCUGAGAGGAGAAUCCCCCACACUGGUACUGAGACACGGACCAGACUCCUACGGGAGGCAGCAGUAAGGAAUAUUGGUCAAUGGGCGGAAGCCUGAACCAGCCAUGCCGCGUGCAGGAUGACUGCCCUAUGGGUUGUAAACUGCUUUUGUCCAGGAAUAAACCUCCUUACGUGUAGGGAGCUGAAUGUACUGGAAGAAUAAGGAUCGGCUAACUCCGUGCCAGCAGCCGCGGUAAUACGGAGGAUCCGAGCGUUAUCCGGAUUUAUUGGGUUUAAAGGGUGCGUAGGCGGCCUAUUAAGUCAGGGGUGAAAUACGGUGGCUCAACCAUCGCAGUGCCUUUGAUACUGAUGGGCUUGAAUCCAUUUGAAGUGGGCGGAAUAAGACAAGUAGCGGUGAAAUGCAUAGAUAUGUCUUAGAACUCCGAUUGCGAAGGCAGCUCACUAAGCUGGUAUUGACGCUGAUGCACGAAAGCGUGGGGAUCGAACAGGAUUAGAUACCCUGGUAGUCCACGCCCUAAACGAUGAUAACUCGAUGUUGGCGAUAGACAGCCAGCGUCUUAGCGAAAGCGUUAAGUUAUCCACCUGGGGAGUACGCCCGCAAGGGUGAAACUCAAAGGAAUUGACGGGGGCCCGCACAAGCGGAGGAGCAUGUGGUUUAAUUCGAUGAUACGCGAGGAACCUUACCCGGGCUUGAAAGUUAGUGAAGGAUGCAGAGACGCAUCCGUCUAGCGGACC